GAUGAACGCUGGCGGCGUGCUUAACACAUGCAAGUCGAACGGGAUCCAUCAAGCUUGCUUGGUGGUGAGAGUGGCGAACGGGUGAGUAAUGCGUGACCGACCUGCCCCAUACACCGGAAUAGCUCCUGGAAACGGGUGGUAAUGCCGGAUGCUCCAGUUGAUCGCAUGGUCUUCUGGGAAAGCUUUCGCGGUAUGGGAUGGGGUCGCGUCCUAUCAGCUUGACGGCGGGGUAACGGCCCACCGUGGCUUCGACGGGUAGCCGGCCUGAGAGGGCGACCGGCCACAUUGGGACUGAGAUACGGCCCAGACUCCUACGGGAGGCAGCAGUGGGGAAUAUUGCACAAUGGGCGCAAGCCUGAUGCAGCGACGCCGCGUGAGGGAUGGAGGCCUUCGGGUUGUAAACCUCUUUUAUCGGGGAGCAAGCGAGAG
This 429-nucleotide ribosomal RNA is filed under the name uncultured bacterium. RNAcentral describes it as "bacterial SSU rRNA". It matches the Rfam family "Bacterial small subunit ribosomal RNA", at positions 28 to 456 of the family's 1533-position model. The record is from RNAcentral.